RNAcentral lists this ribosomal RNA (231 nucleotides) under uncultured bacterium. RNAcentral describes it as "partial 16S ribosomal RNA". It matches the Rfam family "Bacterial small subunit ribosomal RNA", at positions 15 to 244 of the family's 1533-position model. The record is from RNAcentral.
GAUCAUGGCUCAGAUUGAACGCUGGCGGCAUGCUUUACACAUGCAAGUCGAACGGCAGCACAGGGAGCUUGCUCCCGGGUGGCGAGUGGCGUACGGUGAGUAAUACAUCGGAACGUGUCCUAUUGUGGGGGAGUAACUGCUCGAAAGGGUGGCUAAUACCGCAUGAGACCUGAGGGUGAAAGCGGGGGAUCGCAAGACCUCGCGCAAUUGGAGCGGCCGAUGCCCGAUUAG